GCCUCGGUGGCGGAACUGGUAGACGCAUGCGACUCAAAAUCGUAUAUCCUUACGGGUGUGGGGGUUCGAUUCCCCCCCGAGGUA
This 84-nucleotide transfer RNA is filed under the name Bacteroidota bacterium. Its description in RNAcentral is "Bacteroidetes bacterium tRNA-Leu". It matches the Rfam family "tRNA". Rfam says of the family: Transfer RNA (tRNA) molecules are approximately 80 nucleotides in length. RNAcentral also lists the same sequence under 3 other names. Lineage: Bacteria; Pseudomonadati; Bacteroidota. The record is from RNAcentral.